RNAcentral lists this long non-coding RNA (937 nucleotides) under Oryctolagus cuniculus (rabbit). RNAcentral describes it as "lncRNA (ENSOCUG00000039574.1)". Lineage: Eukaryota; Metazoa; Chordata; Mammalia; Lagomorpha; Leporidae. The record is from RNAcentral.
GGCUAAUCCUGUGCGCGUUCAUGACGCCAUUUUAUGCCGGAAACUAGACAUUUCUUAAAAAUACAUAUACCCAUUUUCAGUAUGCAGCCUGCUUGCAAGGGUGCUUCAAAGGCGUUUUCCAGAUAUUCCCGGCUGUGCGAGGGUCCAGGGGCCCAGCCUGCGCACGCCCUGGGUACCCCCCAGCAGGCCCCCUACGCGGGGGCGGAGAUACUGUCACCCAUUGGCUGAGGCAGCUCCCACACGCCCCCCAGAGCCCCGCAAGUCGGUACCUUCAGGAGUCCCCUCGGGCCACGCGUCAGUCACCCUGCGCCCCUCUCUCAGACCGCCAGCUCCCCCCCCCCCCCCACCCCGCCCCAGGUCCCUCCAUUUCUGCCAUCUCUGUUUUUCCUGACGCUUCUACUUGUGGCUCCUCUCGUUCCUUUGCGCAUUCAAAACUGGGCAGCGGGCAGGAGCGCGGCUCACCGCAGCCCUAGCAGUGGUGCCGGAAGCGCGACCGCCGCCUCGGCACAGUCCCCUGCUGCUUCGGCUGGUUCUUACUGCAGUACUUUCCCGUGGAUCUGGAAAAGUAACUCUUCACAUCCAUCCCCUGAAAAUCUUCUGAACAGGAAAUGGCAGAGCUCCAAAAGCCACAUGUGUACGAAUGAAAAUUCAUAACAUGUUAUUCAAACUCCUGUUGUAUUUGUGCAAUUUACUAAUUAGAUAUGGAGCUGUCAUUUGAAAUCUAAAGGGACUUUGGAGAAACCCAAGUGCAACAAGCUUUUGAAUGUUAUAAACCUACUGCCAACUUGUGAAAAAAGAAAACUUUGAAAAAAAGGUUAAAAUAGCUAUUUUACUGAUGUACUUUACAGAGAAGGAAGUUUGGAUAUGCAGUUGCACUGUUUUUCUUUUAAUUGAACGUACAAAUAAAAUUAUAUUUAUACAGAGUAGUUAAUGAAAA